This 251-nucleotide long non-coding RNA is filed under the name Neogale vison (American mink). RNAcentral describes it as "Neovison vison (American mink) lncRNA (ENSNVIG00000001764.1)". Lineage: Eukaryota; Metazoa; Chordata; Mammalia; Carnivora; Mustelidae. The record is from RNAcentral.
CCUUCCUUUUCUUUCCUCUAGGCCUGCUUGAAGCCAUUUAGGAAACCUUUGCUGAGAGCCUCCAUCAGAGCUCCUCCCGCAAACUCUGCUGGAAACAGUUGUUUCUUUCCAGUAUAAAAGAAUUUUAUGGACCGGUUGGCCAAUAAGUACAUGGGAGGUUUGAAGAGCUGAAAGAAAAAAAUCCAUCUUAGACUUGCUUUUUAAAAUCCUCGUGUAAGAUGAAGACCAUUACAGACAGCUUGCCCUUUUAU